UACGAAGGGUGCAAGCGUUAAUCGGAAUUACUGGGCGUAAAGCGUGCGCAGGCGGCUUUGCAAGACAGAUGUGAAAUCCCCGGGCUCAACCUGGGAACUGCAUUUGUGACUGCAAGGCUAGAGUACGGCAGAGGGGGAUGGAAUUCCGCGUGUAGCAGUGAAAUGCGUAGAUAUGCGGAGGAACACCAAUGGCGAAGGCAAUCCCCUGGGCCUGUACUGACGCUCAUGCACGAAAGCGUGGGGAGCGAACAGG
Molecule: ribosomal RNA, 253 nt
Filed under: uncultured bacterium
Lineage: Bacteria
Description: partial 16S ribosomal RNA
Rfam family: Bacterial small subunit ribosomal RNA
Source: RNAcentral